GGAGUGGUGGCUGAGUGGUCGAAAGCGACGGUUUGCUAAACCGUUGUAGGCCUUAAAAUCUACCUCGGGUUCGAAUCCCGACCACUCCG
Molecule: transfer RNA, 89 nt
Filed under: Armatimonadota bacterium
Lineage: Bacteria; Bacillati; Armatimonadota
Description: Armatimonadetes bacterium (glacier metagenome) tRNA-Ser
Rfam family: tRNA
About the family: Transfer RNA (tRNA) molecules are approximately 80 nucleotides in length. Their secondary structure includes four short double-helical elements and three loops (D, anti-codon, and T loops).
Source: RNAcentral